Molecule: ribosomal RNA, 735 nt
Filed under: uncultured Fusobacterium sp.
Lineage: Bacteria; Fusobacteriati; Fusobacteriota; Fusobacteriia; Fusobacteriales; Fusobacteriaceae
Description: bacterial SSU rRNA
Rfam family: Bacterial small subunit ribosomal RNA
Source: RNAcentral
GAUGAACGCUGACAGAAUGCUUAACACAUGCAAGUCAACUUGAAUUUGGGUUUUUAACUUAGAUUUGGGUGGCGGACGGGUGAGUAACGCGUAAAGAACUUGCCUCACAGCUAGGGACAACAUUUAGAAAUGAAUGCUAAUACCUGAUAUUAUGAUUUUAAGGCAUCUUAGAAUUAUGAAAGCUAUAAGCACUGUGAGAGAGCUUUGCGUCCCAUUAGCUAGUUGGAGAGGUAACAGCUCACCAAGGCGAUGAUGGGUAGCCGGCCUGAGAGGGUGAUCGGCCACAAGGGGACUGAGACACGGCCCUUACUCCUACGGGAGGCAGCAGUGGGGAAUAUUGGACAAUGGACCAAGAGUCUGAUCCAGCAAUUCUGUGUGCACGAUGAAGUUUUUCGGAAUGUAAAGUGCUUUCAGUUGGGAAGAAAAAAAUGACGGUACCAACAGAAGAAGUGACGGCUAAAUACGUGCCAGCAGCCGCGGUAAUACGUAUGUCACAAGCGUUAUCCGGAUUUAUUGGGCGUAAAGCGCGUCUAGGUGGUUAUAUAAGUCUGAUGUGAAAAUGCAGGGCUCAACUCUGUAUUGCGUUGGAAACUGUGUAACUAGAGUACUGGAGAGGUAAGCGGAACUACAAGUGUAGAGGUGAAAUUCGUAGAUAUUUGUAGGAAUGCCGAUGGGGAAGCCAGCUUACUGGACAGAUACUGACGCUGAAGCGCGAAAGCGUGGGUAGCAAACAGG